AGAGUUUGAUCAUGGCUCAGAAUCAACGCUGGCGGCGUGCCUAACACAUGCAAGUCGAACGCGGUUACCCCGCAAGGGGUGACUGAGUGGCAAACGGGUGAGUAACACGUGGGUGACCUGCCUCUGAGUGGGGGAUAACGUUUCGAAAGGAACGCUAAUACCGCAUGACAUCCUGCCUUUGGACAGGCGGAGAUCAAAGCCGGGGAUCGCAAGACCUGGCGCUUGGAGAGGGGCCCGCGUCCGAUUAGCUAGUUGGUGAGGUAACGGCUCACCAAGGCGACGAUCGGUAUCCGGCCUGAGAGGGCGGACGGACACACUGGGACUGAGACACGGCCCAGACUCCUACGGGAGGCAGCAGUGGGGAAUUGUUCGCAAUGGGCGCAAGCCUGACGACGCAACGCCGCGUGGAGGAUGAAGGUCUUCGGAUUGUAAACUCCUGUUGAUCGGGACGAAUAACCAUCGGGAUAACACCCCGGAGGUCUGACGGUACCGAUUGAGGAAGCCCCGGCUAACUCUGUGCCAGCAGCCGCGGUAAUUC
This 538-nucleotide ribosomal RNA is filed under the name uncultured bacterium. RNAcentral's name for it is "bacterial SSU rRNA". It matches the Rfam family "Bacterial small subunit ribosomal RNA", at positions 8 to 526 of the family's 1533-position model. The record is from RNAcentral.